GCGAGUGAAGCGGCAACAGCUCAAAUUUGAAAGCUGGCUCCGGCCCGCAUUGUAAUUUGCAGAGGAUGCUUUUGGCGAGGUGCCUUCCGAGUUCCCUGGAACGGGACGCCAUAGAGGGUGAGAGCCCCGUAUGGAUGGACACCAAACCUGUGUAAAGCUCCUUCAACGAGUCGAGUAGUUUGGGAAUGCUGCUCUAAAUGGGAGGUAAAUCUCUUCUAAAGCUAAAUACCGGCCAGAGACCGAUAGCGCACAAGUAGAGUGAUCGAAAGAUGAAAAGCACCUUGAAAAGGGGGUUAAACAGUACGUGAAAUUGUUGAAAGGGAAGCGCUUGUGACCAGACUUGCGCCGGGCAGCUCAUCAGGGGUUCUCCCCUGUGCACUCUGCCCGGCUCAGGCCAGCAUCGGUUCUCGUGGGAGGAUAAGAACAGUGGGAACGUGGCCCCCUCUCGGGGGGGUGUUAUAGCCCAUUGUACGAUACUCUCGUGGGGACCGAGGUUCGCGCUCCGCAAGGAUGCUGGC
Molecule: ribosomal RNA, 518 nt
Filed under: Cytospora hoffmannii
Lineage: Eukaryota; Fungi; Ascomycota; Sordariomycetes; Diaporthales; Cytosporaceae
Description: eukaryotic LSU rRNA
Rfam family: Eukaryotic large subunit ribosomal RNA
Source: RNAcentral